Molecule: long non-coding RNA, 1377 nt
Organism: Lycium barbarum (goji berry)
Lineage: Eukaryota; Viridiplantae; Streptophyta; Magnoliopsida; Solanales; Solanaceae
Exons: 4
Source: RefSeq, a predicted model, not a curated record
ACAACCCUAAUCUGAAAUCUCUGAAAAAUUCAUCAGUGCUUGAGAAAGUGGUUAUUGGAGUUUGAUAGGUGAGGAUACUCCCAAAACAUUUACACGGCACUUGUACAGAGCACUGACGUUGUUGUUGUAAAUGUUUUUCGAGUAUCUUCUCCUAUAAACUUCAAAAUCUAGAUCCCACAAGACACGGUAUUUGACAAAUCUGAAGACGCUUGAUCUCGGCUUCUCCAAAAGAUUGAUACAAACACCAAAUUUCAAAGGAACGCCAAAUUUGGAGACUUUGCAUCUGAAGGGAUGUAUAAAUCUUGAAGAGAACACUAUCCUUGGGAUAUUGCAAAAAGCUCAUUUUCUUAAAUUUGAAGGAAUGUUAAAGCCUUAAGAGGCUUCCAAGUAGUUUUCGCGCGGCUUGCAAUUUGAAGUUCUGGAAACUAGUCCAAGUUGAUUGAAAAUUGUUUGAGCUGACUAACAGGUAGACAGGAAAGCGGUCCAGACUAAUAGGAGUUACCAGUUGAGUUGAGGAGCACCCCAUCUUCCGGAGGUGCUAAUUGGUUGAUUCUUUUGUGUAUAUAUUGUGUAUGUCACUCAAUAGAGGCUCGUAGGUGCCCGAUGUGGGUUGUGUGGUUCCACGACGUGGGUAGUAUGCAUGUGUAUAAGUAUAUUGAAAUAUGAUUGUAUAUCAGAGUAUUAUAUUUUGUAAUGGAAAGCAGAUCUUCCCCUUAAAGUUAACAGAAAAUCGAUAAGUGACUGUGGAAUAGAUUAAGAAAAUGAUAGCACGAGCGGUGCUCGGUGGUUAGCCUCGGGUACCCGUCGCGGCCCCUAGUCGGGUCGUGACAGAAGUGGUAUCAGAGCAGUUCGUCCUAGGGAGUGUCUACGAGUCGUGUCUAGUAGAGUCUUGUUUAUCGGUGUGUUGUGCACCACAUCUAUAAACAGGAGGCUACCGGGAAUUUAGGAAAGUUGACCAUCCUUCUUCUUAAUAGAUCGUGCGAUAGAGCUGUGUUAUAAGAUUAUUCCUCCUCUAACGGUGCGUUAUAAUUUCAGCUAAGCUGAUGAAAAGAAAAGCUACGGCGGCCCAGAAGGGCAAGAUGGUGGUUGAAGAAAGGCUUGAUCGAGAGCCGUCUAUAGAUAUAGAGGAAGGUGGAUCCCAGAAUAAGGCCCCACCUCGAUGUUCCCAUACUCCGUCCACAUUUGAGGACCAAAGGGGAGCCUCGUUCUUAGCUCCAGUACCCCCCGUUCCUUGGCAAGAUACCGCGGGCCAAGAGAUGAGACAGGCCAUUCUUUUACUGACUCAAUUGGUAGCCGCUCAAACUCAGCGCCAUAAUGCGGGUCACGAUGACAGGGGUUGGAGAAAGGGAGUUAAUUCUUUUGGGUCUGACCAUGAGA